RNAcentral lists this ribosomal RNA (445 nucleotides) under uncultured bacterium. RNAcentral's name for it is "partial 16S ribosomal RNA". It matches the Rfam family "Bacterial small subunit ribosomal RNA", at positions 354 to 796 of the family's 1533-position model. The record is from RNAcentral.
GUGAGGAAUAUUGGUCAAUGGACGAGAGUCUGAACCAGCCAAGUCGCGUGAAGGAAGACGGUUCUAUGAAUUGUAAACUUCUUUUGCAGGGGAAUAAAGUGCAGGACGUGUCCUGUUUUGUAUGUACCCUGAGAAUAAGGAUCGGCUAACUCCGUGCCAGCAGCCGCGGUAAUACGGAGGAUCCGAGCGUUCUCCGGAUUUAUUGGGUUUAACGGGUGCGUAGGUGGUUUGAUAAGUCAGCGGUGAAAGGUUGCAGCUUAACUGUAAAAAUGCCGUUGAAACUGUCGGACUUGAGUGUAAAUGAGGUAGGCGGAAUGCGUGGUGUAGCGGUGAAAUGCAUAGAUAUCACGCAGAACUCCGAUUGCGAAGGCAGCUUACUAAGCUACAACUGACACUGAAGCACGAAAGCGUGGGGAUCAAACAGGAUUAGAAACCCCUGUAGUCC